Long non-coding RNA from Thalassophryne amazonica, 422 nucleotides. RefSeq lists it as uncharacterized. NCBI's taxonomy places the organism in Eukaryota, Metazoa, Chordata, Actinopteri, Batrachoidiformes, Batrachoididae. The transcript has 4 exons. The record is from RefSeq and is a predicted model, not a curated record.
UUUGAGUCCGGGUGAAGCUCGGCUGCAGAGUCCCAGCCUCCCUCCCUCGUCACCUUAUUGCCAGAUGCAGUUUCACUUCCACAUCAGCGCAGUGAGUGCUGGGUCACUCAGAGUGCUUAUGCAGCAAGCUGAGGGACGUGAAGCAAUCUUGUGGUCACGCAGUCACAACACUGUCUCUCAAUGGAGCCCAGAGACUCUGCCUCUCGGCCCGCACCAGCAGCCGUACAAGGUUGUGUUCAGUGGUGUGGAUGCAGAGGAGGUCUAGGGGCCCAGUGGGAUGCAGAUCAGAAUGUUGCUGUGGAUGAUAUCUCUUUAUAAACUGUGAAAAAUCAUUCCAACCCCCAGCUCUGUCAGCCUACGGAUGUUCAUUUGAAGAUGGUUUGUGUGGUUGGGUGCAGGGGGGUGAAGACAACUUGGACUGG